RNAcentral lists this ribosomal RNA (393 nucleotides) under uncultured bacterium. RNAcentral's name for it is "bacterial SSU rRNA". It matches the Rfam family "Bacterial small subunit ribosomal RNA", at positions 30 to 412 of the family's 1533-position model. The record is from RNAcentral.
AUUGAACGCUGGCGGCAGGCCUAACACAUGCAAGUCGAACGGUAACAGGAAGAAGCUUGCUUCUUUGCUGACGAGUGGCGGACGGGUGAGUAAUGUCUGGGAAACUGCCUGAUGGAGGGGGAUAACUACUGGAAACGGUAGCUAAUACCGCAUAACGUCGCAAGACCCAAAAAAAGGGGGGACCCUUCGGGCCUCUUGCCAUCGGAUGUGCCCAGAUGGGAUUAGCUAGUAGGUGGGGUAACGGCUCACCUAGGCGACGAUCCCUAGCUGGUCUGAGAGGAUGACCAGCCACACUGGAACUGAGACACGGUCCAGACUCCUACGGGAGGCAGCAGUGGGGAAUAUUGCACAAUGGGCGCAAGCCUGAUGCAGCCAUGCCGCGUGUAUGAAGAA